AACGAACGCUGGCGGCAUGCCUAAUACAUGCAAGUCGUACGAUCACUUCGGCGGUAGUGGCGCACGGGUGCGUAACGCGUGGGCAUCUGCCCUUGGGUUCGGAAUAACAUCGGGAAACUGAUGCUAAUACCGGAUGAUGACGUAAGUCCAAAGAUUUAUCGCCCAGGGAUGAGCCCGCGUAGGAUUAGCUAGUUGGUGGGGUAAAGGCCUACCAAGGCGACGAUCCUUAGCUGGUCUGAGAGGAUGAUCAGCCACACUGGGACUGAGACACGGCCCAGACUCCUACGGGAGGCAGCAGUAGGGAAUAUUGGACAAUGGGGGCAACCCUGAUCCAGCAAUGCCGCGUGAGUGAUGAAGGCCUUAGGGUUGUAAAGCUCUUUUACCCGGGAUGAUAAUGACAGUACCGGGAGAAUAAGCCCCGGCUAACUCCGUGCCAGCAGCCGCGGUAA
This 449-nucleotide ribosomal RNA is filed under the name uncultured bacterium. Its description in RNAcentral is "partial 16S ribosomal RNA". It matches the Rfam family "Bacterial small subunit ribosomal RNA", at positions 29 to 523 of the family's 1533-position model. The record is from RNAcentral.